AUUGAACGCUGGCGGCAUGCUUUACACAUGCAAGUCGAACGGCAGCGGGGUAGUGCUUGCACUACUGUCCGGCGAGUGGCGAACGGGUGAGUAAUAUAUCGGAACGUACCGAGUAAUGGGGGAUAACCAAUCGAAAGAUUGGCUAAUACCGCAUACGUCCUGAGGGAGAAAGCGGGGGAUCGCAAGACCUCGCGUUAUUCGAGCGGCCGAUAACUGAUUAGCUAGUUGGUGGGGUAAAGGCCUACCAAGGCGACGAUCAGUAGCGGGUCUGAGAGGACGAUCCGCCACACUGGGACUGAGACACGGCCCAGACUCCUACGGGAGGCAGCAGUGGGGAAUUUUGGACAAUGGGGGCAACCCUGAUCCAGCCAUGCCGCGUGUAUGAAGAAGGCCUUCGGGUUGUAAAGUACUUUUGUUAGGGAAGAAAAGGGAAGUGCUAAUACCACUUUUUGCUGACGGUACCUAAAGAAUAAGCACCGGCUAACUACGUGCCAGCAGCCGCGGUAAUACGUAGGGUGCGAGCGUUAAUCGGAAUUACUGGGCGUAAAGCGAGCGCAGACGGUUAUUUAAGCAGGAUGUGAAAUCCCCGGGCUUAACCUGGGAACUGCGUUCUGAACUGGAUAGCUAGAGUGUGUCAGAGGGGGGUAGAAUUCCACGUGGAGCAGUGAAAUGCGUAGAGAUGUGGAGGAAUACCGAUGGCGAAGGCAGCCCCCUGGGAUAACACUGACGUUCAUGCUCGAAAGCGUGGGUAGCAAACAGG
This 760-nucleotide ribosomal RNA is filed under the name uncultured Eikenella sp. RNAcentral describes it as "bacterial SSU rRNA". It matches the Rfam family "Bacterial small subunit ribosomal RNA", at positions 28 to 776 of the family's 1533-position model. Lineage: Bacteria; Pseudomonadati; Pseudomonadota; Betaproteobacteria; Neisseriales; Neisseriaceae. The record is from RNAcentral.